Molecule: ribosomal RNA, 497 nt
Filed under: uncultured bacterium
Lineage: Bacteria
Description: partial 16S ribosomal RNA
Rfam family: Bacterial small subunit ribosomal RNA
Source: RNAcentral
GAUGAACGCUGGCGGCGUGCCUAAUACAUGCAAGUCGAGCGAACAGAUAAGGAGCUUGCUCCUUUGACGUUAGCGGCGGACGGGUGAGUAACACGUGGGUAACCUACCUAUAAGACUGGGAUAACUUCGGGAAACCGGAGCUAAUACCGGAUAACAUUUGGAACCGCAUGGUUCUAAAGUGAAAGAUGGUUUUGCUAUCACUUAUAGAUGGACCCGCGCCGUAUUAGCUAGUUGGUAAGGUAACGGCUUACCAAGGCAACGAUACGUAGCCGACCUGAGAGGGUGUUCGGCCACACUGGAACUGAGACACGGUCCAGACUCCUACGGGAGGCAGCAGUAGGGAAUCUUCCGCAAUGGGCGAAAGCCUGACGGAGCAACGCCGCGUGAGUGAUGAAGGGUUUCGGCUCGUAAAACUCUGUUAUUAGGGAAGAACAAAUGUGUAAGUAACUGUGCACGUCUUGACGGUACCUAAUCAGAAAGCCACGGCUAACUACGUG